Salvelinus fontinalis (brook trout) is the source of this 829-nucleotide long non-coding RNA. RefSeq lists it as uncharacterized. The transcript has 5 exons. The record is from RefSeq and is a predicted model, not a curated record. NCBI's taxonomy places the organism in Eukaryota, Metazoa, Chordata, Actinopteri, Salmoniformes, Salmonidae.
AGUAUACAUUUUUUUGAAAGAAUGGUGCAGUAGAAUAGAAGAAGGGUCCAGUAGAGUGGUGCUUUAGAAUGGAAGAAGGAUCCAGUAGAAUGUUUAUUUUUUUGUUUAUAUCCUUGUUCCUUCAGUUGUAUCAGCCUACAUCUGAUUUCAACCUCAGUGACCCAAACUGUCACAUUAUGAGGCCGACGUACAACAGUUUGCAUGACCCAAACCUCAAUGAAUACUUCCAUCAGAAGGAAAUGCAUGAGAAGUUAAAGAAGCAAAACUUCAUCACUAAAGAGGACAACGUUGUAUGCUCAUUAAAGGAGUAUAACACAUACAAACAUUACCUGGAUACGGUCAAGACUGACCAUCAUAAAACGUACAGCAAAAAGUUGAAGGAACAGAUACUGAGAAUGGUUCAGUUGCAAGAGGAAGACCAUAUACCUAAGGACGUUACCCUGGAAGAUAUGAUAAGAGUACUUACUGAAUAAAGGAGCACAGAACCUGAAGCAUCUGCAGUCAACCAUUGGUUCCAGGGACAGGGGACAGAAAUAUGGCCUGCAAACUGCGUUGUAUGACCAAGAGAGAGAGUUUAAAGAGGAUUGGGUUUCUAAGGAGCGAUCCAGGCUGAAACUCAUUGAAAAAGAUGUGAGGCACGAUUUGAACAAGGCCAAGUAUAUGAAAGAGGCCAAAGAAAAGCGCAUCAGAAAGAAAAUGUGCAUUAUGGAACAAAAACAGGCUAUUCAGUUGAGGAUAAUGGAAGAGGAAUUGAAAAACCUCCAGGAGUUUGAGGGGUUUAGAGAGGCCUCUAUCAAACCAAAUAAGCUGCUGGAAGAAAUAUUUGAAA